GCCCAUGCACAUGAGGCCGCAGCUGAGUCGGGACGGCUCCGCCGUGCCGAUACCAUGAGGCGCACCGGGGGAGCUGUCUCCGCCUAGCCGCCCAGAGCAUCCUCCCCUCGAGCCGCUCCGAUCCCCUUGCCAUCCCCCAGCUCCAGCCUAACCCCGAGAGCGCUGGCGUCAAUCAGCCCCGCCGGCAUGGCCAUAUUCACGCCGCUGCUCCCUUGCAUCCUGUGCGCCAUCGACCUCUCCUCGGAAAUCUACAACAUUGAUGGCGGGGGCGCACCGCCGCUGCCUAAGGUCGACCCUGCGUGCGCCACCCACACCCCGCGUACAACGGCCGAGGCCUCCGCCGGCCACGGCAGUCCGAGCGCUCCGGCCUGGCUCGCCAUGUGCCGUCUCCCCCUACGACCUGAGGGUGUGGUGCGGACGAGGUUGCCAGGUUGGGAUGGCUCCAAUCUUCUUCGUCGACGUCCACGGCUCCACGAGACCAACCAGGAGAAGCAGGCAUCCAUGGAGGGAUUGAGCCCAGAGCGCUGCCUUUGUCGCUCUCUGGCUCUCCUGCCAAUCUCCGCUAUCCGGUGCCGCUGUCUGACCCUCGGCAGGCUCUCUUUCCCUCCUCCGUUCUGUACAAAAAAAAAGAUAAUCCUUUGCCUCUCCGUUCUCUUUUGUACAAUUCAGUUAACUCUUAUGAUGUUAAGAAAGUGAGGAACAUAUUAUGGGGUAUUGCUGGUUGGUCGAUUGUUUUAAUCAGAUGCUGGUUUGCAAGUCUGCCAUAUGUAUACGAGUAUGAGUACGAGACUACGAGCAAUGCAUGUUAGUGAAUUUCAAGGCUAUGAGAUACUAGAAAAUUGAGGAGCUAAUUGUAACUGCAUCAUCCCUUUGAAAUCAGAAUCACAUCUUAACGUGAUGCAUACCAUAACUGAUGAUAAAAGAAAUUCGUUGCAGCAGCUGCUGGGUUUGUGGAUUUUUUUGCUGAGCGGAUUGUGGAUCUUAUUAUAGAUUCAGCACUUGGAAGCUGAAGUAACACUACAGAAGUUCUCUACUCUUUUACUCUUUCUAAUGCCCUUCCAUCUGGAGCAGUUUAAUUUAUUCAGUACACGACUUGUCAUCUUCUCCCUAUGUAAAUCUUCAGCCUGGCCAUUCUAUUUUGAAAUGAGUUACAGUAUCAUGGACUUGCAUAUUUAACCCCAUCGGUAACAUGUUGGGUUUAUGGGAUUUUGCUUGCCUUCUGCGAGCAAACUUCAGAUGAAAAGCAGGCACAAAAUGCAUCAGAUCAAGUGUUGAUGGAGAUUGUACUAAAGAGGUAAUCUGUUUGAACUUCAAAUAUACAUAUUGUUGUGGUCUUGAUUGUCAUGGGCCAUAUGUUAAUUUUCCCCAGUUUUCUGUUUUGAUUUUUCUUGCUCAAGGCUCGAGAGCCAAACAUGUGACGUUGUUUGCAGAUAUUGUUUGCAUGAUCAACUUUCACUGUAUAAGGGCAUGCUUAUGGACGAUCUAGAUUCAGGUGUAGUUGAUGAAGAAAUGGAAAGAGAAGACUCAUCCAUACAGGAAAAAUUGGAUAUGGAGAAUAAAGGACUUCAGCAAUAGGAGGGUGGUUCAUGCCCAGCUUCUGCUCGAGGUGCAGCAAUAGAUGCAGCUGCAUCAACAGUGGCAAUUUGUGGUGAUUCAUUCGCAGUUCAUCUUCUAGACCAAGCCCCGGACGUCACUUACCUUACUUAUAGUCUAUACAAGGCCUUCCGUGCGGUCACCACUACUGAGCGUCUCCAUAUAGCAAAUUUAUAUGGCCAAGCACCUUUGGUGUGGUCGCCACGGCUGAGCCCUUAUAUGUUGCAGAUCUUAUAUGGCCAAGUUUGGUUCUGGUUUGAGAGAAAAGAAGUGCUGUUAAUUAAGGUAAUGGUGUCUUCCAAGAAGGGAAUAGGCAAGUGCAUAAGCUAGGUAGAGACACGUUAAUAACAGUAGGAAUCAAAAAGAUCCAUUGGAAUAUAAUCCACAAGCUGGUGCCCUGGUGAAGAAAUUAGUGUAAGUUAAGGAGAUACAGUAGAUGUUGACCAUUAAGGGCUUCAGGCCAACUGUAGGACAUCAGAUUUGGCAGUGGAUCAACACUGAUUUGCUUCUUGGUGUUUGUUUUUCACUGUUGGCUGUUCACAAACGCAAGAUCGUACUUCAUACAGAAGCUCUUCUA
Molecule: long non-coding RNA, 2170 nt
Organism: Aegilops tauschii subsp. strangulata
Lineage: Eukaryota; Viridiplantae; Streptophyta; Magnoliopsida; Poales; Poaceae
Source: RefSeq, a predicted model, not a curated record